GGAGGUAGUGACAAUAAAUCACAAUGCGGAACAAUGUUUUGCAAUUGGAUUGAGAACAACGUACAAACCUUAUCGAUAAACAAUUGGAGGGCAAGUCUGGUGCCAGCAGCCGCGGUAAUUCCAGCUCCAAUAGCGUAUAUUAACGUUGUUGCAGUUAAAAAGCUCGUAGUUGAAAUGAAGGGUAGUUGUGUAAUGAAUACAUUCGUGUAUUUUGUUAUUCUACUACCCUCCUUCUAAAUUCGAUAUAUGAGUAUUAAUUUACUUGUAUAUGGUUUUAGACGUUUACUGUGAGAAAAUUAGAGUGUUCAAAGCAGGCAUUUGCUUGAAUAUAUUAGCAUGGAAUAAUCAUGUAUGAUUUUCAUGAUGUAUUUGAUUGGUUUGGUUCAUGAGAAUAAGAUUAAAAGGGACAGUUGGGGGUAUUCAUAUUCAAUAGUCAGAGGUGAAAUUCUCGGAUUUAUGGAAGAUGAACAAGUGCGAAAGCAUUUACCAAGGAUGUUUUCAUUAAUCAAGA
RNAcentral lists this ribosomal RNA (511 nucleotides) under uncultured Blastocystis sp. RNAcentral describes it as "bacterial SSU rRNA". It matches the Rfam family "Eukaryotic small subunit ribosomal RNA", at positions 460 to 982 of the family's 1831-position model. The record is from RNAcentral. Lineage: Eukaryota; Bigyra; Opalinata; Blastocystidae.